This 66-nucleotide transfer RNA is filed under the name Rhinophis roshanpererai. RNAcentral's name for it is "tRNA-His". The record is from RNAcentral. Lineage: Eukaryota; Metazoa; Chordata; Lepidosauria; Squamata; Uropeltidae.
GUGUACGUAAUUUAAACAAAAUACCAAGCCGUGACCUUGAAUAUAGAGACAUGUCUCUCGCACACC